AGCAGCCGCGGUAAUUCCAGCUCCAAUAGCGUAUAUUAAAGUUGUUGCAGUUAAAAAGCUCGUAGUUGAAUUUCGGGAUCAGUUGAUCGGUCGUGCCUCGGUACGUACUGGUCAAAUUGAUUCCUACCUUCUGACGAACCACGAUGUCAUUAAUUUGGUGUCGUGGGAAAUCAGGACUGUUACUUUGAAAAAUUAGAGUGUUUAAAGCAGGCUCGCGCUUGAAUACAUUAGCAUGGAAUAAUGAAAUAGGACGUUUGAUUCUAUUUUGUUGGUUUCUAGGAUCGACGUAAUGAUUAAUAGGGAUAGUUGGGGGCAUUAGUAUUCAAUUGUCAGAGGUGAAAUUCUUGGAUUUAUUGAAGACUAACUACUGCGAAAGCAUUUGCCGAGGAUGUUUUCAUUAAUCAAGAACGAAAGUUAGGGGAUCGAAGACGAUCAGAUACCGUCGUAGUCUUAACCAUAAACUAUGCCGACUAGGGAUCGGAUGAUGUUAAUUUUUAAUGACUCAUUCGGCGCCUUAAC
Molecule: ribosomal RNA, 519 nt
Filed under: uncultured Glomus
Lineage: Eukaryota; Fungi; Glomeromycota; Glomeromycetes; Glomerales; Glomeraceae
Description: SSU rRNA
Rfam family: Eukaryotic small subunit ribosomal RNA
Source: RNAcentral